AAGGGCACUCUAAUGAGACUGCCGGUGACAAACCGGAGGAAGGUGGGGAUGACGUCAAGUCCUCAUGGCCCUUAUGGGUAGGGCUUCACACGUCAUACAAUGGUCGGUACAGAGGGCUGCCAACCCGCAAGGGGGAGCCAAUCCUUUAAAACCGAUCGUAGUCCGGAUUGAGGUCUGCAACUCGACCUCAUGAAGUCGGAAUCGCUAGUAAUCGCGGAUCAGCAUGUCGCGGUGAAUACGUUCCCGGGUCUUGUACACACCGCCCGUCAC
RNAcentral lists this ribosomal RNA (270 nucleotides) under uncultured beta proteobacterium. RNAcentral's name for it is "partial 16S ribosomal RNA". It matches the Rfam family "Bacterial small subunit ribosomal RNA", at positions 1131 to 1400 of the family's 1533-position model. Lineage: Bacteria; Pseudomonadati; Pseudomonadota; Betaproteobacteria. The record is from RNAcentral.